This 505-nucleotide ribosomal RNA is filed under the name uncultured bacterium. RNAcentral's name for it is "bacterial SSU rRNA". It matches the Rfam family "Bacterial small subunit ribosomal RNA", at positions 501 to 1008 of the family's 1533-position model. The record is from RNAcentral.
CUACGUGCCAGCAGCCGCGGUAAUACGGAAGGUCCGGGCGUUAUCCGGAUUUAUUGGGUUUAAAGGGAGCGUAGGCCGGAGAUUAAGUGUGUUGUGAAAUGUAGACGCUCAACGUCUGACUUGCAGCGCAUACUGGUUUCCUUGAGUACGCACAACGUUGGCGGAAUUCGUCGUGUAGCGGUGAAAUGCUUAGAUAUGACGAAGAACUCCGAUUGCGAAGGCAGCUGACGGGAGCGCAACUGACGCUGAAGCUCGAAGGUGCGGGUAUCGAACAGGAUUAGAUACCCUGGUAGUCCGCACAGUAAACGAUGGAUGCCCGCUGUUGGUACCUGGUAUCAGCGGCUAAGCGAAAGCAUUAAGCAUCCCACCUGGGGAGUACGCCGGCAACGGUGAAACUCAAAGGAAUUGACGGGGGCCCGCACAAGCGGAGGAACAUGUGGUUUAAUUCGAUGAUACGCGAGGAACCUUACCCGGGCUUGAAUUGCAGAGGAAGGAUUUAGAGAUA